This 430-nucleotide ribosomal RNA is filed under the name uncultured Desulfobulbaceae bacterium. RNAcentral describes it as "bacterial SSU rRNA". It matches the Rfam family "Bacterial small subunit ribosomal RNA", at positions 355 to 776 of the family's 1533-position model. Lineage: Bacteria; Pseudomonadati; Thermodesulfobacteriota; Desulfobulbia; Desulfobulbales; Desulfobulbaceae. The record is from RNAcentral.
UGAGGAAUAUUGCGCAAUGGGGGCAACCCUGACGCAGCGACGCCGCGUGGAUGAUGAAGGCCUUCGGGUCGUAAAAUCCUGUCAGAUGGAAAGAAAUGUCAUAUGCCUAAUAUGUGUAUGAUUUGACGGUACCAUCAAAGGAAGCACCGGCUAACUCCGUGCCAGCAGCCGCGGUAAUACGGAGGGUGCAAGCGUUGUUCGGAAUUACUGGGCGUAAAGCGCGCGUAGGCGGCUUUUUAAGUCAGAUGUGAAAGUCCACGGCUCAACCGUGGAAGUGCAUUUGAUACUGAAAAGCUUGAGUACUGGAGGGGAUGGUGGAAUUCCCGGUGUAGAGGUGAAAUUCGUAGAUAUCGGGAGGAAUACCGGUGGCGAAGGCGACCAUCUGGCCAGAUACUGACGCUGAGGUGCGAAAGCGUGGGGAGCAAACAGG